Molecule: ribosomal RNA, 253 nt
Filed under: uncultured bacterium
Lineage: Bacteria
Description: partial 16S ribosomal RNA
Rfam family: Bacterial small subunit ribosomal RNA
Source: RNAcentral
UACGUAGGGGGCGAGCGUUGCCCGGAAUUACUGGGCGUAAAGGGCAUGCAGGCGGCCCAGCGCGUUUUGUGUGACAGCGGGUGGCUUAACUACCCGAGUAUGCGAAAGACGGUUUGACUUGAGGGCUCGAGAGGGACACGGAAUUCCGGGUGGAGUGGUGAAAUGCGUAGAGAUCCGGAGGAACACCGAAGGCGAAGGCAGUGUCCUGGCGAGCGACUGACGCUGAGGUGCGAAAGCUAGGGGAGCGAACGGG